AUUGAACGCUGGCGGCAUGCUUUACACAUGCAAGUCGAACGGUAACAGGCCUUCGGGUGCUGACGAGUGGCGAACGGGUGAGUAAUGCAUCGGAACAUACCCAGUCGUGGGGGAUAACGUAGCGAAAGUUACGCUAAUACCGCAUACGUCCUGAGGGAGAAAGCGGGGGAGUCGCAAGACCUCGCGCGAUUGGAGUGGCCGAUGUCAGAUUAGCUAGUUGGUGGGGUAAAGGCCCACCAAGGCGACGAUCUGUAGCGGGUCUGAGAGGAUGAUCCGCCACACUGGGACUGAGACACGGCCCAGACUCCUACGGGAGGCAGCAGUGGGGAAUUUUUGGACAAUGGGGGAAACCCUGAUCCAGCCAUGCCGCGUGCGGGAAGAAGGCCUCGG
This 390-nucleotide ribosomal RNA is filed under the name uncultured bacterium. RNAcentral's name for it is "bacterial SSU rRNA". It matches the Rfam family "Bacterial small subunit ribosomal RNA", at positions 29 to 420 of the family's 1533-position model. The record is from RNAcentral.